This 1403-nucleotide ribosomal RNA is filed under the name Campylobacter jejuni. Its description in RNAcentral is "bacterial SSU rRNA". It matches the Rfam family "Bacterial small subunit ribosomal RNA". The record is from RNAcentral. Lineage: Bacteria; Pseudomonadati; Campylobacterota; Epsilonproteobacteria; Campylobacterales; Campylobacteraceae.
UGCAGUCGAACGAUGAAGCUUCUAGCUUGCUAGAAGUGGAUUAGUGGCGCACGGGUGAGUAAGGUAUAGUUAAUCUGCCCUACACAAGAGGACAACAGUUGGAAACGACUGCUAAUACUCUAUACUCCUGCUUAACACAAGUUGAGUAGGGAAAGUUUUUCGGUGUAGGAUGAGACUAUAUAGUAUCAGCUAGUUGGUAAGGUAAUGGCUUACCAAGGCUAUGACGCUUAACUGGUCUGAGAGGAUGAUCAGUCACACUGGAACUGAGACACGGUCCAGACUCCUACGGGAGGCAGCAGUAGGGAAUAUUGCGCAAUGGGGGAAACCCUGACGCAGCAACGCCGCGUGGAGGAUGACACUUUUCGGAGCGUAAACUCCUUUUCUUAGGGAAGAAUUCUGACGGUACCUAAGGAAUAAGCACCGGCUAACUCCGUGCCAGCAGCCGCGGUAAUACGGAGGGUGCAAGCGUUACUCGGAAUCACUGGGCGUAAAGGGCGCGUAGGCGGAUUAUCAAGUCUCUUGUGAAAUCUAAUGGCUUAACCAUUAAACUGCUUGGGAAACUGAUAGUCUAGAGUGAGGGAGAGGCAGAUGGAAUUGGUGGUGUAGGGGUAAAAUCCGUAGAUAUCACCAAGAAUACCCAUUGCGAAGGCGAUCUGCUGGAACUCAACUGACGCUAAGGCGCGAAAGCGUGGGGAGCAAACAGGAUUAGAUACCCUGGUAGUCCACGCCCUAAACGAUGUACACUAGUUGUUGGGGUGCUAGUCAUCUCAGUAAUGCAGCUAACGCAUUAAGUGUACCGCCUGGGGAGUACGGUCGCAAGAUUAAAACUCAAAGGAAUAGACGGGGACCCGCACAAGCGGUGGAGCAUGUGGUUUAAUUCGAAGAUACGCGAAGAACCUUACCUGGGCUUGAUAUCCUAAGAACCUUUUAGAGAUAAGAGGGUGCUAGCUUGCUAGAACUUAGAGACAGGUGCUGCACGGCUGUCGUCAGCUCGUGUCGUGAGAUGUUGGGUUAAGUCCCGCAACGAGCGCAACCCACGUAUUUAGUUGCUAACGGUUCGGCCGAGCACUCUAAAUAGACUGCCUUCGUAAGGAGGAGGAAGGUGUGGACGACGUCAAGUCAUCAUGGCCCUUAUGCCCAGGGCGACACACGUGCUACAAUGGCAUAUACAAUGAGACGCAAUACCGCGAGGUGGAGCAAAUCUAUAAAAUAUGUCCCAGUUCGGAUUGUUCUCUGCAACUCGAGAGCAUGAAGCCGGAAUCGCUAGUAAUCGUAGAUCAGCCAUGCUACGGUGAAUACGUUCCCGGGUCUUGUACUCACCGCCCGUCACACCAUGGGAGUUGAUUUCACUCGAAGCCGGAAUACUAAACUAGUUACCGUCCACAGUGGAAUCAGCGACUGGG